Molecule: ribosomal RNA, 406 nt
Filed under: uncultured bacterium
Lineage: Bacteria
Description: partial 16S ribosomal RNA
Rfam family: Bacterial small subunit ribosomal RNA
Source: RNAcentral
GAUGAACGCUAGCUACAGGCUUAACACAUGCAAGUCGAGGGACCGGCGCACGGGAGAGUAACACGAAUACAACCUGCCCUUUACUCAGGGAUAGCCUUACGAAAGAAAGAUUAAUACACGAUACAAAGGAUGGGGAUGCGGUCCAUUAGGUUGUGGGUGAGGUAACGGCCCACCAAGCCUUCGAUGGAUAGGGGUUCUGAGAGGAAGGUCCCCCACAUUGGAACUGAGACACGGUCCAAACUCGUACGGGAGGCAGCAGUGAGGAAUAUUGGUCAAUGGGCGUUAGCCUGAACCAGCCAAGUAGCGUGAAGGAGGAAGGCUUAUGGGUCGUAAACUUCUUUUAUAUAAGAAUAUGUAUUAUAUGAAUAAGGAUCGGCUAACUCCGUGCCAGCAGCCGCGGUAAGAC